AACAAGACUACUCGGAAGCUACGGUUGCAAAACAGUUAGUUCUACAAUAGAUUGUUCAUUAUCAAGAUUAAACUCAGUUUCAAGAGAAGGAAGAUUGUGAUCUUUUUCAAUUAGCUCUUCAUCAGAUUCAUCAAAAAUGGGUAGAGAAUCUAAAAAAAUCUUUAAGUUCUUCAAAAUUGUUUUCAGAUUCACCUUGGGCUUUCUUACUGAUGAACAAGGAUGGCUCAGCUAUUGGGGCACGGGUGGAUGCGCUCUUCUUUGGGCUCUUGCUGAUAUCCUUGAGGGCUU
RNAcentral lists this long non-coding RNA (288 nucleotides) under Brassica rapa (field mustard). RNAcentral describes it as "long non-coding RNA (BRAP_LNC008985)". The record is from RNAcentral. Lineage: Eukaryota; Viridiplantae; Streptophyta; Magnoliopsida; Brassicales; Brassicaceae.